AUCACGGGAGACACACGGCGGGUGCUAACGUCCGUCGUGGAGAGGGAAACAACCCAGACCGCCAGCUAAGGUCCCCAAGUACUAGUUAAGUGGGAAACGAUGUGGGAAGGCAUAGACAGCCAGGAGGUUGGCUUAGAAGCAGCCACCCUUUAAAGAAAGCGUAAUAGCUCACUGGUCGAGUCGGCCUGCGCGGAAGAUGUAACGGGGCUAAAACUAGUCACCGAAGCUGCGGAUGUGCGCGAAGGCGCACGUGGUAGGGGAGCGUUCUGUAGGCUGAUGAAGGUGCAUUGAGAAGUGUGCUGGAGGUAUCAGAAGUGCGAAUGCUGACAUGAGUAACGAUAAUGUGGGUGAAAAGCCCACACGCCGGAAGUCCCAGGUUUCCUGCACGACGUUAAUCGGAGCAGGGUGAGUCGGCCCCUAAGGCGAGGCUGAAGAGCGUAGUCGAUGGGAACCAGGUUAAUAUUCCUGGACUUUUUAUAAGUGGUGAAGUGGGGACGAAGAAGGCUAGGUGAGCCAGGCGUUGGUUGUCCUGGUACUUGCAUGUAGGGGGGAAGACUUGGCAAAUCCGGUUUUCCAUAACUCUGAGGUGCGAAGUGGUUCUGACCUUUUGGUACAGAGAAGUCAUUGAUGCCCGGCUUCCAGGAAAAGCUGCUAGCCAUAACUUAUAGAGAACCGUACCGCAAACCGACACAGGUGGACAGGUAGAGAAUACUAAGGCGCUUGAGAGAACUCGGGUGAAGGAACUAGGCAAAAUGGUACCGUAACU
This 766-nucleotide ribosomal RNA is filed under the name Legionella pneumophila subsp. pneumophila. RNAcentral describes it as "partial 23S ribosomal RNA". It matches the Rfam family "Bacterial large subunit ribosomal RNA", at positions 974 to 1735 of the family's 2925-position model. The record is from RNAcentral. Lineage: Bacteria; Pseudomonadati; Pseudomonadota; Gammaproteobacteria; Legionellales; Legionellaceae.